RNAcentral lists this ribosomal RNA (486 nucleotides) under uncultured bacterium. RNAcentral's name for it is "partial 16S ribosomal RNA". It matches the Rfam family "Bacterial small subunit ribosomal RNA", at positions 28 to 507 of the family's 1533-position model. The record is from RNAcentral.
GAUGAACGCUAGCGGCAGGCUUAACACAUGCAAGUCGAGGGGCAGCGCGGGAUAGCAAUAUCCUGGCGGCGACCGGCGGAAGGGUGCGUAACGCGUGAGCGACAUGCCCGUUGCCCGGGGACAACCGGUGGAAACGCCGACUAAUCCCCGAUGGGAUAUUGUGCCGCAUGGCACGAUAUUGAAAGUUACGGCGGCGACGGAUUGGCUCGCGUCCGAUUAGCUUGUUGGCGGGGUAACGGCCCACCAAGGCUGCGAUCGGUAGGGGUUCUGAGAGGAAGGCCCCCCACAAUGGGACUGAGACACGGCCCAUACUACUACGGGAGGCAGCAGUGAGGAAUAUUGGUCAAUGGGCGGAAGCCUGAACCAGCCAUGCCGCGGGCGGGAAGGAGGCCCUAUGGGCUGUGAACCGCUUUUGCCUGGGGGCAAUAAGGGCGUCGCGCACGUCCGAUGAGAGUACCAGGCGAAUAAGCAUCGGCUAACUCCGUG